This 1431-nucleotide ribosomal RNA is filed under the name marine metagenome. RNAcentral describes it as "bacterial LSU rRNA". It matches the Rfam family "Bacterial large subunit ribosomal RNA", at positions 989 to 2391 of the family's 2925-position model. The record is from RNAcentral.
CCGUGGGGGAUAAGCUCCAUUGUCGAAAGGGAAACAGCCCAGAUCACAAGCUAAGGUCCCUAAGUCUGAACUAAGUGGGAAAGGAAGUUAGAAUCCACAAACAGCCAGGAGGUUGGCUUAGAAGCAGCCAUCCUUUAAAGAAAGCGUAAUAGCUCACUGGUCGAGGUUUUUAGCGCCUAAAAUGUAACGGGGCUAAAGUUCAGCACCGAAGCUGUGAGUUUCUUAUUUUUAAUAAGAAGCGGUAGGAGAGCGUUGUCAGUGCACUGAAUCUGAAAUGUGAGUUUUGGUGGAGCGCUGAGAAGUGAGAAUGCAGGCAUGAGUAGCGACAAUCGUGGUGAGAAUCCACGACACCGGAAGCCCAAGGUUUCCUACGCAAUGUUGAUCAUCGUAGGGUUAGUCGGGCCUAAGUGGUAGCGUAUAGCGAACACGAUGGACAUCGGGUUAAAAUUCCCGAACCGUUCAUGUUGUGUUUAAAAUAAAGGGGGGACGCAAGAAGGUAAGUAGAGCAUACCUAUUGGACAUGGUGUGUUUGUUUUUGUAGAUGAUGACCAGAUAGGAAAAUCCGUUUGGUAUUUUAGUUGAGGAAAACAAAAACUAGAGAGCUUAGCUCAAAGGAAUUUUGCUGAUCCUAUGUUGCCAAGAAAAUCCUCGUUAUUAAUAACAUGAGCGACCGUACCGCAAACCGACACAGGUAGGCAGGGAUAAAUGUCCCAAGGUGAACGAAAGAACCUUCGUUAAGGAACUCGACAGAUUGACCCCGUAACUUAGGGAGAAGGGGUGCCUGUUAUUUGAUACUGAUUUACUUAGUAAAGGGUAAUAGGCCGCAGUGAAUCGGUCCAAGCGACUGUUUAUCAAAAACAUAGGUCUAUGCUAAACCGAAAGGUGAUGUAUAUGGGCUGACGCCUGCCCAGUGCCGGAAGGUUAAGAGGAGAGGUUAGGAUUUAUCCAAAGCUUUGAAUUGAAGCCCCGGUGAACGGCGGCCGUAACUAUAACGGUCCUAAGGUAGCGAAAUCCCUUGUCAGGUAAGUUCUGACCCGCACGAAUGGCGUAACGACUUGGACAUUGUCUCAACGAAGGACUCGGUGAAAUUGCAGGACCAGUGAAGAUGCUGGUUACCUACGACAGGACAAAAAGACCCCGUGGAGCUUUACUGUAACUUGGCAGUGAUUUAGGCUUAUAAACGUGUAGGAUAGGCGGGAGACUUUGAAGCUUUAACGCUAGUUAGAGUGGAGUCACCCUUGAAAUACCGCCCUUUUAUAAUUUUGGAUCUAACUUUGUAUUUAUGAAGGACCCUGCCUGGUGGGCAGUUUGACUGGGGCGGUCGCCUCCUAAAAGAUAACGGAGGCGCCCAAAGGUUCCCUCAAGGUGGAUUGGAAAUCACCUUUCGAGUGUAUUGGCAUAAGGGAGCUUGACUGUGAGACCUACAAGUCG